This 675-nucleotide ribosomal RNA is filed under the name Clostridium perfringens. RNAcentral describes it as "partial 23S ribosomal RNA". It matches the Rfam family "Bacterial large subunit ribosomal RNA", at positions 518 to 1193 of the family's 2925-position model. Lineage: Bacteria; Bacillati; Bacillota; Clostridia; Eubacteriales; Clostridiaceae. The record is from RNAcentral.
AAAGAACCCCGGGAGGGGAGUGAAAUAGAACCUGAAACCGUGUGCCUACAACCGCUCAGAGCCCCUUAUGAGGGUGAUGAGGUGCUUUUUGUAGAACGAGCCAACGAGUUACGGUAUGUAGCAAGGUUAAGUACUUAAGGUACGGAGCCGAAGGGAAACCGAGUCUGAAUAGGGCGACUAGUUGCAUGCCGUAGACCCGAAACCGGGUGACCUAUCCAUGGCCAGGUUGAAGCGAGGGUAAAACCUCGUGGAGGACCGAACCACGUUGCUGUUGAAAAAGCAUGGGAUGAGCUGUGGAUAGCGGAGAAAUUCCAAUCGAACCCGGAGAUAGCUGGUUCUCUCCGAAAUAGCUUUAGGGCUAGCGUCGAGUAUGAGUAGUGGAGGUAGAGCACUGAAUGGGCUAGGGGGCAUAGCGCUUACCGAACCUUAUCAAACUCCGAAUGCCACAUACUUUGAGCUCGGCAGUCAGACUACGAAUGAUAAGAUCCGUGGUCAAAAGGGAAACAGCCCAGAUCGUCAGCUAAGGUCCCAAAGUGUAAGUUAAGUGGGAAAGGAUGUGAGAUUUCUAAGACAACUAGGAUGUUGGCUUAGAAGCAGCCAUUCAUUAAAAGAGUGCGUAAUAGCUCACUAGUCGAGAGAUCUUGCGCCGAAAAUGUAACGGGGCUAAACUUACCA